AUUGAACGCUGGCGGCAGGCCUAACACAUGCAAGUCGAGCGGAUGAAGGGAGCUUGCUCCUGGAUUCAGCGGCGGACGGGUGAGUAAUGCCUAGGAAUCUGCCUGGUAGUGGGGGAUAACGUCCGGAAACGGGCGCUAAUACCGCAUACGUCCUGAGGGAGAAAGUGGGGGAUCUUCGGACCUCACGCUAUCAGAUGAGCCUAGGUCGGAUUAGCUAGUUGGUGGGGUAAAGGCCUACCAAGGCGACGAUCCGUAACUGGUCUGAGAGGAUGAUCAGUCACAGGGGAAGAGAAACACGGCCCAGCUUGCAACGGGGGCGACGGGUGGGAAAUUUAGAAAAAGGGGCGAAACCUGCAUCCGGCCAUGCAGCGUGUGUGAGGAGAGUCUUAGAAUGAUAAACAACUUUAGGGCGGGGGGAGGGAGUGAAAGUUAAUACGUUCUUUUUUGAACGUCCCCAAAAAAAAACCCCCCGGCAAACUUGGUG
RNAcentral lists this ribosomal RNA (484 nucleotides) under uncultured bacterium. RNAcentral's name for it is "partial 16S ribosomal RNA". It matches the Rfam family "Bacterial small subunit ribosomal RNA", at positions 30 to 507 of the family's 1533-position model. The record is from RNAcentral.